GCUCAGAAACUUAAAGGAAAUUGACGGAAGGGCACCACCAGGAGUGGAGCCUGCGGCUUAAUUUGACUCAACACGGGAAACCUCACCCGGCCCGGACACGGACAGGAUUGACAGAUUUGAUAGCUCUUUCUCGAUUCCGUGGGUGGUGGUGCAUGGCCGUUCUUAGUUGGUGGAGCGAUUUGUCUGGUUAAUUCCGAUAACGAACGAGACUCUGGCAUGCUAACUAGUUACGCGACCCCCGAGCGGUCGGCGUCCCCCAACUUCUUAGAGGGACAAGUGGCGUUCAGCCACCCGAGAUUGAGCAAUAACAGGUCUGUGAUGCCCUUAGAUGUCCGGGGCUGCACGCGCGCUACACUGACUGGCUCAGCGUGUGCCUACCCUACGCCGGCAGGCGCGGGUAACCCGUUGAACCCCAUUCGUGAUGGGGAUCGGGGAUUGCAAUUAUUCCCCAUGAACGGGGAAUUCCCAGUAAGUGCGGGUCAUAAGCUUGCGUUGAUUAAGUCCCUGCCCUUU
This 513-nucleotide ribosomal RNA is filed under the name uncultured bacterium. RNAcentral's name for it is "SSU rRNA". It matches the Rfam family "Eukaryotic small subunit ribosomal RNA", at positions 1134 to 1661 of the family's 1831-position model. The record is from RNAcentral.